RNAcentral lists this ribosomal RNA (1359 nucleotides) under uncultured bacterium. RNAcentral describes it as "bacterial SSU rRNA". It matches the Rfam family "Bacterial small subunit ribosomal RNA", at positions 28 to 1381 of the family's 1533-position model. The record is from RNAcentral.
AUUGAACGCUGGCGGCAUGCCUUACACAUGCAAGUCGAACGGCAGCACGGACUUCGGUCUGGUGGCGAGUGGCGAACGGGUGAGUAAUGUAUCGGAACGUACCUUUCAGUGGGGGAUAACGUAGCGAAAGUUACGCUAAUACCGCAUAUUCUGUGAGCAGGAAAGCAGGGGAUCGCAAGACCUUGCGCUGAUUGAGCGGCCGAUAUCAGAUUAGCUAGUUGGUGGGGUAAAGGCCUACCAAGGCUACGAUCUGUAGCGGGUCUGAGAGGAUGAUCCGCCACACUGGAACUGAGACACGGUCCAGACUCCUACGGGAGGCAGCAGUGGGGAAUUUUGGACAAUGGGGGCAACCCUGAUCCAGCCAUGCCGCGUGAGCGAAGAAGGCCUUCGGGUUGUAAAGCUCUUUCGGCCGGGAAGAAAUCGCAUCAGCUAAUACCUGGUGUGGAUGACGGUACCGGAAUAAGAAGCACCGGCUAACUACGUGCCAGCAGCCGCGGUAAUACGUAGGGUGCGAGCGUUAAUCGGAAUUACUGGGCGUAAAGCGUGCGCAGGCGGUUGUGUAAGACAGGCGUGAAAUCCCCGGGCUCAACCUGGGAACUGCGCUUGUGACUGCACAGCUAGAGUACGGCAGAGGGGGGUGGAAUUCCACGUGUAGCAGUGAAAUGCGUAGAGAUGUGGAGGAACACCGAUGGCGAAGGCAGCCCCCUGGGCCGAUACUGACGCUCAUGCACGAAAGCGUGGGUAGCAAACAGGAUUAGAUACCCUGGUAGUCCACGCCCUAAACGAUGUCAACUAGGUGUUGGGUGGGUAAAACCAUUUAGUACCGUAGCUAACGCGUGAAGUUGACCGCCUGGGGAGUACGGCCGCAAGGUUAAAACUCAAAGGAAUUGACGGGGACCCGCACAAGCGGUGGAUGAUGUGGAUUAAUUCGAUGCAACGCGAAAAACCUUACCUACCCUUGACAUGUCCAGAAGCCCGAAGAGAUUUGGGUGUGCCCGAAAGGGAACUGGAACACAGGUGCUGCAUGGCUGUCGUCAGCUCGUGUCGUGAGAUGUUGGGUUAAGUCCCGCAACGAGCGCAACCCUUGUCGUUAAUUGCCAUCAUUUGGUUGGGCACUUUAACGAGACUGCCGGUGACAAACCGGAGGAAGGUGGGGACGACGUCAAGUCCUCAUGGCCCUUAUGGGUAGGGCUUCACACGUCAUACAAUGGUCGGUACAGAGGGUUGCCAAGCCGCGAGGUGGAGCCAAUCCCAGAAAGCCGAUCGUAGUCCGGAUUGCAGGCUGCAACUCGCCUGCAUGAAGUCGGAAUCGCUAGUAAUCGCGGAUCAGCAUGUCGCGGUGAAUACGUUCCCGGGUCU